GCAUCGGUCCAGGUCCGCGUCGGCGAAGACCAGGGCUGGGUUUUUGCCGCCGAGUUCCAGCGACAACUUCUUACAGUAGGGGGCGCUACGCUCCGUGAUGUGCCGGGCAGUGGCGGUAGACCCCGUGAAGGAGAUCAAGGGGACUUCCGGGUGGCCUACGAGGGCAUCGCCUGCACGGGAGCCGAGUCCGAAUACGAUGUUGACCACGCCCGAAGGAACACCUGAUAAACAACACAUCCUUGUCCAUUAUCUUCCUCCUGCAUCAGCUUGCACAUCAUCCAGGCAGUCACCGAGCUCAUCUCACUGGGUUUGGCGACCACCGUGUUGCCCGCAGCGAUGGCGGGUGCAAUUUUCCACGUCAGGAGUUUGUCCCUCUGCAGGAGCCUAUCCCAGUCGCACUAUUAUUUGAUAGAACUCGUAUUUACCCACUCCCACGGGGCAGCGCACGGUGUAGUUGAGGCAGCCCACGUGGUCCAUCUGGUGGCAGUCGGUGGUGUGGUGCAGCACGGACGAGGCGAAGAAGCGGAAGUUGUACGCGGAGCGUGGAAUGUCCACUGUGCGUGCAAACGUCACCGUUUUACCUGGAACACAACUUAUCACUCUCUUGAAAAUGACUGACAAAACAUUGGAAUUGAUCUCACUGGCCACAACAUUAGGUACACCUGCUUGCUAAAGGAUCGCUUUGCAUGUUGACAUCACGUUAGCGACCAAAAUGAGUCGUAAAAGCAGUAGAAUAGAAAAUUAUGUAAUAUUUUAAAGAUUAUAUUUAAUAUUUUUAAGCCCCCUUAAAUUAUUUGGUGUGAUUUUAUUUUUUUAUUUUUACAAAAAAAUGCAGAAAAAUACAAUAGAAAUAUGCAUGAAUGUGACUCAUGACAUCACACGUCUUGCAGUGUUUACUGAAGUAAACUCGCAAGUAAACAUGCUUCUAUUGGGUCUGACGAAGGCGCUUACCGCUCUCUUGAAAAUGACUGACGAAAACAUAAACUGAUCUCACUGGCCACAAUAUUAGGUACACCCGCUUGCUAAAGGAUCGUUUUACAUGUUGAAAUCACGUUAGCGACCAAAGUAGCCCCCUUAAAUACCAGAAAAAUACAAUAGAAAUAAGCAUGAAUGUGACUCAUGACGUCACACGUCCUGCAGUGUUGGAAGUAAACACGCAAGAAGACGAGCUUCUAUUGGGUCUGACAAAGGCGCUUACCGCUCUCUUGACAACGACAAAAAUAUUAUAAUUGAUCUCACUGGCCACAACAUUAGGUACACCCGCUUGCUAAAGAAUCGUUUUACAUUUUGACAUCAUGUUAGCGACCAAAGUGAGUAUUAUAAGCAGUAGAAGACACAAAUAUUAUGUAAUAUUUUAAAGAGUAUAUCUAAUAUUUUAUGCCCCCUUAAAUAAUUUGGUGUGAUUUUAAUUUUUUUUUUUUUUACAAAAAAUUGCAGAAAAAUAAAAUAGAAAUAUGCAGGAAUGUGACUCAUUACGUCACACCUCCUGCAGUGUUUACGGAAGUAAACUCUGAAGCAGACAUGCUUCUAUUGGGUCGGACAAAUGCACUUAUGGCUCUCUUGAAAAUGACAAAAACAUUAUGAUAUAUCUCACUAGCCACAACAUUAGGUACACCCUGCUUGCUCAAGAAUAGUUUUGCAUUUUGACAUCAUGUUAGCUACCAAGGUGAGCUGUGUAAGUAGUAGAAGACAAAUCUAUUGUGUAAUAUUUUAAAUAUUACAUUUAAUAUUUUGAAGCCCCCCUAAAUAAUUCGGUGUUGAUUUUUAUUGUUGUUGUUUUUUACAAAAAAAAUGCAGAAAAAUAAAAUAGAAAUAUGCAAGAA
This is a long non-coding RNA of Nerophis ophidion (straightnose pipefish), 1823 nucleotides long. RefSeq lists it as uncharacterized. Lineage: Eukaryota; Metazoa; Chordata; Actinopteri; Syngnathiformes; Syngnathidae. The record is from RefSeq and is a predicted model, not a curated record. The transcript has 3 exons.